ACUCAAAUGAAUUGACGGGGACCCGCACAAGCGGUGGAGCAUGUGGAUUAAUUCGAUACUAACCGAAGAACCUUACCCAGACUUGACAUCGAUCGCAAGCCUUAGAAAUAGGGCCCUCCCCCACAAGGGGACGUGAAGACACUUGUUGCAUGGCUGUCGUCAGCUCGUGCCGUGAGGUGUACGGUUAAGUCCGCCAACGAGCGCAACCCUCGUCGUGUGUUACCAGCGAGUAAAGUCGGGGACUCACACGAGACCGCCGGUGUAAGCCGGAGGAAGGUGAGGAUGACGUCAAGUCAGCAUGGCAGUUACGUCUGGGGCUUCACACAUGCUACAAUGGGCGCAACAAAGGGCAGCGAUACCGCGAGGUGGAGCCAAUCCCAAAAAUACGCCCUCAGUUCAGAUUGCAGUCUGCAACUCGACUGCAUGAAGUCGGAAUCGCUAGUAAACGCAGGUCAGCUAUACUGCGUUGAAUACGUUCCCGGGUCUUGUACACACCGCCCGU
RNAcentral lists this ribosomal RNA (502 nucleotides) under uncultured bacterium. Its description in RNAcentral is "partial 16S ribosomal RNA". It matches the Rfam family "Bacterial small subunit ribosomal RNA", at positions 899 to 1397 of the family's 1533-position model. The record is from RNAcentral.